AGCAGAGGGAAAAGGAGCAAUCCGCUUUGAGAUGGCCUCGCGUCCGAUUAGCUAGUUGGUGAGGUAACGGCCCACCAAGGCGACGAUCGGUAGCCGGACUGAGAGGUUGAACGGCCACAUUGGGACUGAGACACGGCCCAGACUCCUACGGGAGGCAGCAGUGGGGAAUAUUGCACAAUGGGGGAAACCCUGAUGCAGCGACGCCGCGUGGAGGAAGAAGGUCUUCGGAUUGUAAACUCCUGUUGUUGAGGAAGAUAAUGACGGUACUCAACAAGGAAGUGACGGCUAACUACGUGCCAGUAGCCGCGGUAAAACGUAGGUCACAAGCGUUGUCCGGAAUUACUGGGUGUAAAGGGAGCGCAGGCGGGAGAACAAGUUGGAAGUGAAAUCCAUGGGCUCAACCCAUGAACUGCUUUCAAAACUGUUUUUCUUGAGUAGUGCAGAGGUAGGCGGAAUUCCCGGUGUAGCGGUGGAAUGCGUAGAUAUCGGGAGGAACACCAGUGGCGAAGGCGGCCUACUGGGCACCAACUGACGCUGAGGCUCGAAAGUGUGGGUAGCAAACAGGAUUAGAUACCCUGGUAGUCCACACCGUAAACGAUGAUUACUAGGUGUUGGAGGAUUGACCCCUUCAGUGCCGCAGUUAACACAAUAAGUAAUCCACCUGGGGAGUACGACCGCAAGGUUGAAACUCAAAGGAAUUGACGGGGGCCCGCACAAGCAGUGGAGUAUGUGGUUUAAUUCGACGCAACGCGAAGAACCUUACCAAGUCUUGACAUCCCUUGACGAUGCUGGAAACAGUAUUUCUCUUCGGAGCAAGGAGACAGGUGGUGCAUGGUUGUCGUCAGCUCGUGUCGUGAGAUGUUGGGUUAAGUCCCGCAACGAGCGCAACCCUUAUGGUCAGUUACUACGCAAGAGGACUCUGGCCAGACUGCCGUUGACAAAACGGAGGAAGGUGGGGAUGACGUCAAAUCAUCAUGCCCUUUAUGACUUGGGCUACACACGUACUACAAUGGCGUUAAACAAAGAGAAGCAAGACCGCGAGGUGGAGCAAAACUCAGAAACAACGUCCCAGUUCGGACUGCAGGCUGCAACUCGCCUGCACGAAGUCGGAAUUGCUAGUAAUCGUGGAUCAGCAUGCCACGGUGAAUACGUUCCCGGGCCUUGUACACACCGCCCGUCACACCAUGAGAGCCGGGGGGACCCGAAGUCGGUAGUCUAACCGUAAGGAGGACGCCGCCGAAGGUAAAACUGGUGAUUGGGGUGAAGUCGGAACAAGGUAGCCGUAGGAGAACCUGCGGCUG
RNAcentral lists this ribosomal RNA (1301 nucleotides) under metagenome. Its description in RNAcentral is "bacterial SSU rRNA". It matches the Rfam family "Bacterial small subunit ribosomal RNA", at positions 193 to 1520 of the family's 1533-position model. The record is from RNAcentral.